RNAcentral lists this long non-coding RNA (464 nucleotides) under Homo sapiens (human). RNAcentral's name for it is "non-protein coding CSE1L-AS1:11". The record is from RNAcentral. Lineage: Eukaryota; Metazoa; Chordata; Mammalia; Primates; Hominidae.
GCUCUUUGGCUCUGACCAUGCCAGCAGGCUUCACGGUUCUCGUUUUCCAAAGAGGAACACAGAUUCAGCGAGCGGCUGCUGGCUUCUGACCCAUUUUGAUGUCAGGGCUUGGCACGUAGGAGGUGUUCAAUGUUGAUCGAUCCAAGGUCGUGCACAUAGGGUCUAAGACGGAAGAGAACUUCCUGCCCCUCUUGGAGCUUCUAUUUUAGAGGGAGACACGGCCAGACAGGUCUCGAACUCCUGGCCUCAAGUGAUCCGCACACCUUGGCCUCCCAAAAUGCUGGGAUUCCAGGCGUGAGCCACCGCGCCUGGCCUGGAGCCAGGGCCCCAUAUUAUCUACCGCUGUCCAUCUGCUCUCCAGCACAUCAGAGCAGCCCUUCCCCUGUGUGAGAUUCCUCUCCAGGGCAAGACUUGAAGGGAGCAUCAAGGUUGCAGUGGAAGAAAUAAAUUGGAAGUGGAGCUGG